This 522-nucleotide ribosomal RNA is filed under the name uncultured bacterium. RNAcentral's name for it is "bacterial SSU rRNA". It matches the Rfam family "Bacterial small subunit ribosomal RNA", at positions 17 to 518 of the family's 1533-position model. The record is from RNAcentral.
UCCUGGCUUAGGACGAACGCUGGCGGCGUGCUUAACACAUGCAAGUCGAACGGAGGAUUAUUCGGUAAAUCCUUAGUGGCGAACGGGUGAGUAACGCGUGGGCAAUCUGCCCUCAGAUGGGGACAACAUCCCGAAAGGGGUGCUAAUACCGAAUACCAUCGUAUUCCCGCAUGGCGGUGUGAUGAAAGAUGGCCUCUAUUUAUAAGCUAUCGCUGAAGGAUGAGCCUGCGUCUGAUUAGCUAGUUGGUGGGGUAACGGCCUACCAAGGCGAUGAUCAGUAGCCGGUCUGAGAGGAUGAACGGCCACAUUGGGACUGAGACACGGCCCAAACUCCUACGGGAGGCAGCAGUGGGGAAUAUUCCGCAAUGGACGAAAGUCUGACGGAGCAACGCCGCGUGAGUGAAUGAAGGUUUUCGGACUGUAAAGCUCUGUUGUUUAGGACGAAAGUGCCUGUUGCGAACAGUUACAGGUAUUGACGGUACUGAACGAGGAAGCCACGGCUAACUACGUGCCAGCCGCUGC